UGGGGGGCCCUACGGGAGGCAGCAGUGGGGAAUAUUGCACAAUGGGCGAAAGCCUGAUGCAGCGACGCCGCGUGAGGGAUGACGGCCUUCGGGUUGUAAACCUCUUUCAGCUCCGAAGAAGCGCAAGUGACGGUAGGAGCAGAAGAAGCACCGGCUAACUACGUGCCAGCAGCCGCGGUAAUACGUAGGGUGCAAGCGUUGUCCGGAAUUAUUGGGCGUAAAGAGCUCGUAGGCGGUGUGUCGCGUCUGCUGUGAAAACUCAGGGCUCAACUCUGAGCUUGCAGUGGGUACGGGCACACUUGAGUGCUGUAGGGGAGACUGGAAUUCCUGGUGUAGCGGUGAAAUGCGCAGAUAUCAGGAGGAACACCGGUGGCGAAGGCGGGUCUCUGGGCAGUUACUGACGCUGAGGAGCGAAAGCAUGGGGAGCGAACAGGAUUAGAUACCCUGGUAGUCCAUGCCGUAAACGUUGGGCGCUAGGUGUGGGGUCCAUUCCACGGAUUCCGUGCCGCAGCUAACGCAUAAGCGCCCCUGCCUGCGA
Molecule: ribosomal RNA, 538 nt
Filed under: Kineococcus endophyticus
Lineage: Bacteria; Bacillati; Actinomycetota; Actinomycetes; Kineosporiales; Kineosporiaceae
Description: bacterial SSU rRNA
Rfam family: Bacterial small subunit ribosomal RNA
Source: RNAcentral